UGCGUAGGCGGUCUUGUCGGUCAGAUGUGAAAGCCCAGGGCUCAACCCUGGACGUGCAUUUGAAACAGCAAGACUUGAGUACGGGAGAGGAAAGCGGAAUUCCUGGUGUAGAGGUGAAAUUCGUAGAUAUCAGGAGGAACACCGAUGGCGAAGGCAGCUUUCUGGACCGAUACUGACGCUGAGGCGCGAAGGCGUGGGUAGCGAACAGGAUUAGAUACCCUGGUAGUC
RNAcentral lists this ribosomal RNA (228 nucleotides) under uncultured bacterium. RNAcentral describes it as "partial 16S ribosomal RNA". It matches the Rfam family "Bacterial small subunit ribosomal RNA", at positions 568 to 795 of the family's 1533-position model. The record is from RNAcentral.